CAUUUCUUCUGCUGAAACUCUCUUCAUGUGUUUCGUUUUCAAAGAGCCGAUGUUUCAGAUCCACGACCAGAGACAAAUGAGGCUCAGAGGUGUUUGUGAGUAAAACUUACAACUGUAAUGAAAUAAACGCUACAGGUUUGAAUCUAAUCCAGGCGCCGCCCAGAGGUUUGGUGUAGUUUUGACGGCGCUCGACGGAGGAUUUAUGCAGGUCGAUGAAAACGAAAACGAUGCUGUGUGCACGAUGUUAUUUUGGAAAACGGAGGGAGGGAAAUAUUCGUUUCUCAACAUGCCUGGAUAUGUGUGAACGUCGUCUAAAUCAUCACAGCAACAUCACGUGACUCUGAGGAAAACCACAGGAAGGAGUCCAAACUGUCGGCUAUGAAAACAAACUCAAAAAAGAACCUAAUAACAUUUACAUUUUCAACUUUUAACUUUUAAAUAUUCAGCACAGACCUGGGCUUUGUGCAGCUCCGGGGCCACAUACGGCUCUUUAUUUGACUCUGAUCGUCCCGUUUAAGAUCAUUUGGAAUUACAAAAUAAAUAAAUAAACUAAAUAAAGGUGUCA
Long non-coding RNA from Boleophthalmus pectinirostris (great blue-spotted mudskipper), 565 nucleotides. RefSeq lists it as uncharacterized. The record is from RefSeq and is a predicted model, not a curated record. Lineage: Eukaryota; Metazoa; Chordata; Actinopteri; Gobiiformes; Gobiidae. The transcript is spliced from 2 exons.